GAUGAACGCAGGCGGCGUGCCUAAUACAUGCAAGUCGAGCGAACGGACGAGAAGCUUGCUUCUCUGAUGUUAGCGGCGGACGGGUGAGUAACACGUGGAUAACCUACCUAUAAUACUUGGAUAACUUCGGGAAACCGGAGCUAAUACCGGAUAAUAUUUUGAACCGCAUGGUUCAAAAGUGAAAGACGGUCUUGCUGUCACUUAUAGAUGGAUCCGCGCUGCAUUAGCUAGUUGGUAAGGUAACGGCUUACCAAGGCAACGAUGCAUAGCCGACCUGAGAGGGUGAUCGGCCACACUGGAACUGAGACACGGUCCAGACUCCUACGGGAGGCAGCAGUAGGGAAUCUUCCGCAAUGGGCGAAAGCCUGACGGAGCAACGCCGCGUGAGUGAUGAAGGUCUUCGGAUCGUAAAACUCUGUUAUUAGGGAAGAACAUAUGUGUAAGUAACUGUGCACAUCUUGACGGUACCUAAUCAGAAAGCCACGGCUAACUACGUG
This 497-nucleotide ribosomal RNA is filed under the name uncultured bacterium. Its description in RNAcentral is "partial 16S ribosomal RNA". It matches the Rfam family "Bacterial small subunit ribosomal RNA", at positions 28 to 507 of the family's 1533-position model. The record is from RNAcentral.